GAGCUUGCUCCCUGAUGUUAGCGGCGGACGGGUGAGUAACACGUGGGUAACCUGCCUGUAAGACUGGGAUAACUCCGGGAAACCGGGGCUAAUACCGGAUGGUUGUUUGAACCGCAUGGAUUCAGACAUAAAAGGUGGCUUCGGCUACCACUUACAGAUGGACCCGCGGCGCAUUAGCUAGUUGGUGAGGUAACGGCUCACCAAGGCGACGAUGCGUAGCCGACCUGAGAGGGUGAUCGGCCACACUGGGACUGAGACACGGCCCAGACUCCUACGGGAGGCAGCAGUAGGGAAUCUUCCGCAAUGGACGAAAGUCUGACGGAGCAACGCCGCGUGAGUGAUGAAGGUUUUCGGAUCGUAAAGCUCUGUUGUUAGGGAAGAACAAGUGCCGUUCAAAUAGGGCGGCACCUUGACGGUACCUAACCAGAAAGCCACGGCUAACUACGUGCCAGCAGCCGCGGUAAUACGUAGGUGGCAAGCGUUGUCCGGAAUUAUUGGGCGUAAAGGGCUCGCAGGCGGUUUCUUAAGUCUGAUGUGAAAGCCCCCGGCUCAACCGGGGAGGGUCAUUGGAAACUGGGGAACUUGAGUGCAGAAGAGGAGAGUGGAAUUCCACGUGUAGCGGUGAAAUGCGUAGAGAUGUGGAGGAACACCAGUGGCGAAGGCGACUCUCUGGUCUGUAACUGACGCUGAGGAGCGAAAGCGUGGGGAGCGAACAGGAUUAGAUACCCUGGUAGUCCACGCCGUAAACGAUGAGUGCUAAGUGUUAGGGGGUUUCCGCCCCUUAGUGCUGCAGCUAACGCAUUAAGCACU
This 810-nucleotide ribosomal RNA is filed under the name Bacillus velezensis. RNAcentral's name for it is "bacterial SSU rRNA". It matches the Rfam family "Bacterial small subunit ribosomal RNA", at positions 76 to 868 of the family's 1533-position model. The record is from RNAcentral. Lineage: Bacteria; Bacillati; Bacillota; Bacilli; Caryophanales; Bacillaceae.